GGAGCUGUGGCUCAAUUGGUAGAGCACUUCCCUUGAACUGAAGAGCUCAGGGACAGCACCC
This 61-nucleotide transfer RNA is filed under the name Dipodomys ordii (Ord's kangaroo rat). Lineage: Eukaryota; Metazoa; Chordata; Mammalia; Rodentia; Heteromyidae. The record is from Rfam by way of RNAcentral.